RNAcentral lists this ribosomal RNA (407 nucleotides) under uncultured bacterium. RNAcentral describes it as "partial 16S ribosomal RNA". It matches the Rfam family "Bacterial small subunit ribosomal RNA", at positions 30 to 526 of the family's 1533-position model. The record is from RNAcentral.
AUUGAACGCUGGCGGCAGGCCUAACACAUGCAAGUCGAGCGGAGCGGCGGACGGGUGCGUAAUGCCUAGGUAUCUGCCUGGGAGCGGGGGAUAAGGUCAGGUAAUGGGCGCUAAUACUGCUUCCUAUCAGUAGAGGCUAGGUCGGAAUAGCUUUUUGGUGGGGUAAAGGCAUACCAAGGCGACGAUCCCUAACUGGUCUGAGAGGAUGAUCAGUCACACUGGGACUGAGAAACGGUCCAGACUCCUACGGGAGGCAGCAGUGGGGAAUAUUGGACAAUGGGCGAAAGCCUGAUCCAGCCAUGCCGCGUGUAUGAAGAAGGUCUUCGGGUUGUAAAGCACUUUAAGUGGGGAGGCGUUACCAGCAGAAGAAGCACCGGCUAACUUCGUGCCAGCAGCCGCGGUAAUAC